GAGGGAUCAUUGCUGGAACGCGCCCCAGGCGCACCCAGAAACCCUUUGUGAACUUAUACCUUACUGUUGCCUCGGCGCAUGCCGGCCCCCCUGGGGGCCCCUCCUUCUGGAGGAGCAGGCACGCCGGCGGCCAACCUAACUCUUGUUUUUACACUGAAACUCUGAGAAUAAAACAUAAAUGAAUCAAAACUUUCAACAACGGAUCUCUUGGUUCUGGCAUCGAUGAAGAACGCAGCGAAAUGCGAUAAGUAAUGUGAAUUGCAGAAUUCAGUGAAUCAUCGAAUCUUUGAACGCACAUUGCGCCCUCUGGUAUUCCGGAGGGCAUGCCUGUUCGAGCGUCAUUUCAACCCUCAAGCCUGGCUUGGUGAUGGGGCACUGCUUUUACCCAAAAGCAGGCCCUGAAAUUCAGUGGCGAGCUCGCCAGGACCCCGAGCGCAGUAGUUAAACCCUCGCUUUGGAAGGCCCUGGCGGUGCCCUGCCGUUAAACCCCCAACUUCUGAAAAUUUGACCUCGGAUCAGGUAGGAAUACCCGCUGAACUUAA
RNAcentral lists this ribosomal RNA (542 nucleotides) under Phomopsis sp. NY8652a. Its description in RNAcentral is "eukaryotic LSU rRNA". The stretch from base 188 to 341 matches the Rfam family "5.8S ribosomal RNA". Lineage: Eukaryota; Fungi; Ascomycota; Sordariomycetes; Diaporthales; Diaporthaceae. The record is from RNAcentral.